GCGGUUCUCUCGCAGAACAGAAUAUCCGCGAUUUUGUUCUCGUUCGGUCCGUCGAAAGGUGUGCGAAGUGCGCGAGUUGUGUUUUUGUGCUGCUUUCGGAUAUCUACCGGGAUAGAUUACCUGCCAGGAUUGUUUCAGGUGGCAUCUUGCGGCUCUCGGCUAAAACGUAAAACGUGAGAAGGAAAGGUUCAGUUCCAGUUCUAGCGUUUCCGAGUGAGCAAGUAAGCGAGCGAGCAACCAAAUCGAGUAGCAAGUAGGAGCCAGGCAGCUUCCAUCAUCGGAUUGAAUCGGGAAUAUAAUCGCAGCGCGGUUCCUCAUAUAUCUACGCAACAUAGCAUCCUUCAGAAGGAAGUGGUUCAACCGGAAGGACUCCUCCCUUUAGCGAGAGAAAGUCGUCGUUGAUAGUUGAAAGUAAGCGGAAAAAGUGCAUCCUCGCGGUCGUCGCCGUCCGUCGUCGGAAAGGUUGUUGGCAAAAAUCGAUCGAUUUCUCCGGUUCCGUUUCCUAGCGCUGCUGCAGGAGGGAACGUCGACGAAAAUAAACAACUAAAUAACAAGGUGCUGCCGCAUCAGAAUUCAUAGCGAAGAAGGAAGGGUGUUUCCUGGCUGCUUCUCUGUAGUGCAAAGUACACAGUUGCGUUGUUACGUCGUCGUCAUCGUGACUGAAGGAUUUUCGAAUCGGGAUAAUAAGGUCACUUCUUAAGGCUGACUGAAGCGGAAGUUUCCAGAAGAAGACCGCGGCUUGUCCCGUUUUAUAAAAAGGAAAGCUUUAAAAGCUGGGGGAAAAGGUUACGUGUUUUAACAAGUUUGUUACAAGUGGAAGAAUUGCAGUGGGUGGUUCCAUUUGUCCUUGUGCUUUCUCGUUGCUUCCAGCUUUCCGGGGGGGUAGAUCAAAGGAAAGCUCCAGCGAGUGCUAUUCAGUGUAUUUUUAGUGGGUAAAGUGUGGGUUCGGGAAGUGGAGAAAAUCAAAUUGAACAGAAAAUUAUCAACGUCACCGUCAUAGCCGUCGUUCUUCGUGGCUCAUUUCGAGGUUCUCGUUCAAGAAAAGUGUGAUACUGCACCUGUAUCUGUGCCUCACAGCAGGAAGAAGAAGCAAAGAAAUUGUACAACCUAUUUGCUAGAAUUACUUGGUGCGUCUACGCUUAGCUAGACGCCUCGAGAGGAAUACAAAACUCAGACGUGGUCUCUACGACGAACAAGAACGUGUGGCUGUAGAAGCUGUAAAAACGACAACAACAUACAAUCGUUGUCGUCGUCGUUUUCCUACGUAAGUAAGUUUUGUUGAAUCACCCC
Molecule: long non-coding RNA, 1290 nt
Organism: Uranotaenia lowii
Lineage: Eukaryota; Metazoa; Arthropoda; Insecta; Diptera; Culicidae
Exons: 3
Source: RefSeq, a predicted model, not a curated record